RNAcentral lists this ribosomal RNA (498 nucleotides) under uncultured bacterium. RNAcentral's name for it is "bacterial SSU rRNA". It matches the Rfam family "Bacterial small subunit ribosomal RNA", at positions 21 to 507 of the family's 1533-position model. The record is from RNAcentral.
GGCUCAGGAUGAACGCUAGCGGCAGGCUUAACACAUGCAAGUCGAGGGCAGCAAGGAUUGUGCUUGCUACAAUUUGUUGGCGACCGGCGCACGGGUGCGUAACGCGUAUGUAACCUACCUUUAACAGGGGGGAUAACACUGAGAAAUUGGUACUAAUACCCCAUUAAUACUUUGAAAGGCAUCUUUCGAAGUUGAAAGUUCCGGCGGUUAGAGAUGGGCAUGCGUUGUAUUAGCUAGAUGGUGAGGUAACGGCUCACCAUGGCGACGAUACAUAGGGGGACUGAGAGGUUAACCCCCCACAUUGGUACUGAGACACGGACCAAACUCCUACGGGAGGCAGCAGCGAGGAAUAUUGGUCAAUGGACGCAAGUCUGAACCAGCCAUGCCGCGUGCAGGAUGACGGCUCUAUGAGUUGUAAACUGCUUUUGUAUUAGGGUAAACCUUAGUACGUGUACUAAGCUGAAAGUAUAAUACGAAUAAGGAUCGGCUAACUCCGUG